RNAcentral lists this small nuclear RNA (165 nucleotides) under Oryzias latipes (Japanese medaka). RNAcentral's name for it is "U1 spliceosomal RNA (ENSORLG00015009691.1)". It matches the Rfam family "U1 spliceosomal RNA". From Rfam's summary of the family: U1 is a small nuclear RNA (snRNA) component of the spliceosome (involved in pre-mRNA splicing). Its 5' end forms complementary base pairs with the 5' splice junction, thus defining the 5' donor site of an intron. There are significant differences in sequence and secondary structure between metazoan and yeast U1 snRNAs, the latter being much longer (568 nucleotides as compared to 164 nucleotides in human). Lineage: Eukaryota; Metazoa; Chordata; Actinopteri; Beloniformes; Adrianichthyidae. The record is from RNAcentral.
AUACUUACCUGGUAGGGGAGAUACCAUGAUCAUGAUGGUGGUUCACCCAAGGUGAGGCUCAGCCAUUGCACUGAGGCUGUUGCUGACCUUUGCGAAUUCCCCAAAUGUGGGAAACUCGACUGCAUAAUUUCUGGUAGUGGGGGACUGCGUCUGCGCUCUCCCCUG